Molecule: ribosomal RNA, 1480 nt
Filed under: uncultured bacterium
Lineage: Bacteria
Description: 16S ribosomal RNA
Rfam family: Bacterial small subunit ribosomal RNA
Source: RNAcentral
UGGCUCAGGAUGAACGCUAGCGGCAGGCUUAACACAUGCAAGUCGAGGGGCAGCGGGGAGGAAGCUUGCUUUCUCCGCCGGCGACCGGCGCACGGGUGAGUAACACGUAUGCAACCUGCCCCUGUCAGGGGGACAACCCGCCGAAAGGCGGGCUAAACCCGCGUACAUGCCACCGGGGCAUCCCGGAGGCAGGAAAGGCUUCGGCCGGACAGGGAUGGGCAUGCGGCGCAUUAGGCAGUAGGCGGGGUAACGGCCCACCUAACCGACGAUGCGUAGGGGUUCUGAGAGGAAGGUCCCCCACACUGGUACUGAGACACGGACCAGACUCCUACGGGAGGCAGCAGUGAGGAAUAUUGGUCAAUGGUCGGGAGACUGAACCAGCCAAGCCGCGUGAGGGAUGAAGGUACAGAGUAUCGUAAACCUCUUUUGUCAGGGAACAAAGGCGGGGACGUGUCCCCGGAUGAGCGUACCUGAAGAAAAAGCAUCGGCUAACUCCGUGCCAGCAGCCGCGGUAAUACGGAGGAUGCGAGCGUUAUCCGGAUUUAUUGGGUUUAAAGGGUGCGCAGGCGGUCUGUUAAGUCAGCGGUCAAAGCCCGGGGCUCAACCCCGGCCCGCCGUUGAAACUGGCAGUCUCGAGUUGGAGAGAAGUAUGCGGAAUGCGCGGUGUAGCGGUGAAAUGCAUAGAUAUCGCGCAGAACUCCGAUUGCGAAGGCAGCAUGCCGGCUCCACACUGACGCUGAGGCACGAAAGCGUGGGUAUCGAACAGGAUUAGAUACCCUGGUAGUCCACGCAGUAAACGAUGAAUGCUGGCUGUCCGGGGGGGACUGACCCCUGGGUGGCGAAGCGAAAGCGAUAAGCAUUCCACCUGGGGAGUACGCCGGCAACGGUGAAACUCAAAGGAAUUGACGGGGGGCCGCACAAGUGGAGGAACAUGUGGUUUAAUUUGAUGAUACGCGAGGAACCUUAGCCGGGCUCAAACGGGGAGUGACUCAGGCAGAGACGCCUGUUUUCCACGGGACACUCCCUGAGGUGCUGCAUGGUUGUCGUCAGCUCGUGCCGUGAGGUGUCGGCUUAAGUGCCAUAACGAGCGCAACCCCCGCGUGCAGUUGCUAACAGAUAACGCUGAGGACUCUGCACGGACUGCCGGCGCAAGCCGCGAGGAAGGCGGGGAUGACGUCAAAUCAGCACGGCCCUUACGUCCGGGGCGACACACGUGUUACAAUGGGUGGUACAGCGGGAAGCCAGGCGGCGACGCCGAGCGGAACCCGAAAUCCACUCUCAGUUCGGAUCGGAGUCUGCAACCCGACUCCGUGAAGCUGGAUUCGCUAGUAAUCGCGCAUCAGCCACGGCGCGGUGAAUACGUUCCCGGGCCUUGUACACACCGCCCGUCAAGCCAUGGAAGCCGGGAGUGCCUGAAGUGCGUGAGCGCAAGCAGCGCCCUAGGGUAAAACCGGUGUCGGGGAUAAGUCGUAACAAGGUA